CUGGGGAGCCUGGUGCCUUCUCAGGAGCCUCGCCGGAGGAGGCGUCAUCAGGGGCCGCCCUGGCUUUGAAAUAUCUCUUCGACGCCUGAUUUCGUUUCCCGUUAAACCUCACAGAGAGUGGCAUAGGGAAUGUUGGGCUCACUUUCACGCGAAGAAACUUGGGGUUACAAAAUUGAGAGUAACGUUAUUUUCCGGGAUGUUUCCUAGGUGUCAGACCUCGAGCCUCGACGGCCCUGAAGUCAUAGUGUUUGUACAAAGUGGUGGCACCAGACCAGGAGGAGCUGAGAGCGAGAUUCCGAGGUGGGGGGAAUGGGGCUGCGCUGUAAGUGACCGAGUGAGACUCCCGAUAUUUAAUUUAGCUUUUUUCAGAAGGAAAAGAAAAAACAAUAAUGAGCCUCGGAGAUGCUCCUUCUGCAUUAACCAGCUAUCGACCUGUCUGCGUCGGACUGCGGGCGGCGAGAAAGAGGACAGGGAAGGGCCAGGCGGCUCUUAGGGACUCAGUCACGCCGGCGGGUGGGGGGGGGGGGCGCCCACAGCCCAGGGGAUGAACCUCCAGACCGAGACGUGCACCCAAGAACCUCGCAUAUUAGAUCCCUCCAGGCUCCCCAGGCCUCGAGCAGAAGCGGCCUCCUGGCUACCCUACUUUCCAAUUGAGAACAGCCCUGGUCUGUCCGGGCCAUCUGCGCGCCACGUCGAGACUCAGCGUCCCAGGCAGCCGCGUCCCAACGUGGCGCUGGUCCCCCAACUCGACAGGUCCAGUGGAGCCCGGCUGUGGGCUGAACUCGAGGGUCCGAGGGCAGCUGAACCUUUUCCAGGGAUUUUUAAUCCAACAGAUUAAAUGGGUCAGAGUGACACACUCGCACAGGGAAGAAAAGCAGGUGCACAGAAGUAGAUUUGGGAAAGUCGCGCGCACGAACGCGCUUCACGCAGAAGCUUCUCCAUCAUCUUGCCUUCUUUCAACAUUCCCAGCGCACAAAGCGCUUUGGAGACUGACUGCAGGCCCUCUCAAUGCAGCCCAGGGAGCGGGGAGUGUUCGGAGAGGGUGUCUGUCCAUCGCACACGCUUGGCGCGCGUGCGCCGGAUGCGCACCGGGAACGGCUGCCCGACGUGUGCCCAGGGCCCGCGGCCCGCCAGGUUCUGGGGGCUGCGCCUCGCACUUCACAAGAGGGGAGUCACCAGGCCCGCUUCCUGCCCCCUCCUCGCCCAGCCUCACGGUGCUCACACGUCCCCGUCGAGGGGAGCCGCGGCAGCCCUCGGACUCCCAGCCCCGGCUCAUCUUCUAUCCUUCCCUCCCAGGCCCUAAGUCCCCGGGCUGCGGUGCGGGCCGGCGAUCUCUGAGCUUCCUGCAGGCGCUGCGGCGCGCGCUCCCACCGUUCCCUCCCCCUCGCGCUCGGGUUACAGCAGCCGCGGACUCCUGAGAGCGUGGCCUGGCGUCCGCACAGGGUGGAAUUCGUAUUUGGCCAGGAAUCCGGACUCCGAUCAUCCCAGGAGACGCGGACCGGGGGCCUCCAGAGCUCUCCGGAGCGUGCUGCCGCUCCCCACCAGCCACCAGGGACUCGGAGGCCCUUCCUGGGUCCGGAGAAGCGACGGGGACACUUAGGGGAAAACUUUGCCAACUUCGCUCUUGGCGCGGAAGAGGCCGCUGGCCGGAAUGGUGCAGCAGCGGCGGCGGGCCGCGACGCGCAGGGUGGGCCCCGGGCCAGUGCUGGGCACCCUGGAGCGCGUCGGGAUGCCCAAAGUGGGGCGUGAGGCCGGUGGGCUCUUUGCUCCUCCGCUUCGCCCCUGCGCCUCCCGCGACCCGUCUCACUUCCCUGCGUCUCUGAGCGGCCCGAGAGGCGCAGCGCUCAGAGUGGCCUUGAUGGAAGAACCUGGCCCUCGGCGGGAACGAUUUUCUUUUGCUUUACCUCUUCUGGAUCAGCCGUUUUCCACCUGACUUGAGCAGCCCCCUCCCCCAUGCCUUUUUUUUCUCGUUCCCUCCGUCUGUCCUCACAAUUUCCUCUAUCUUCGAUUUCUAGAUCAUUCGCUUUUCUUCUCUUUCCUCCGCUUCCUCAUUGUGCUGUUUUUAUGCCUUUGCCCUGGACCACUUUUCAGUUCACUUUUCUCCCUUCUGCUCCCUCCCUCACCCCCUUCUUAAUGUCUCUUUUUUCCUCGCCCUGAGUCUGUGACUGUGUCCCUUUCCCCCAUCUGCAGUUGCCGUUUUUGAUUUUCUUUCUUUCCUCCCCACUUCCAUCCGGAUCCUCUCCUAUUUCCUCCUUGGAUUUCUGUCUCUCAGGUUCUGUCUCUCAGGUUCUCCUCUCCGUAAAUAUUCUCUCCUCUCCCUCUCCGGGAUCCGUCCCCUCCCCCACGUGGAUCUGCCUCCCCGGCGCCCCCUCCUCAUUCAUCCUGGGAGAUGAAUUUGUCGCCUUAUUGGACGCCGAGGCCAGAGCCGUGUGAGGGGGCUCGGCCAGCGCUGUGCAUUUUCUUCAUGCAUAUUGAGGAGAUGGUAAUGAGCGCGUUUGCAUUGUUGCUUGGAAAUGUUGUGUUUCCUGCCGCAGUUCGCAGUUCGGAGUGGGCGAGGGUGGUGUGGGCCCAGGACAGCCCCUCAGUAGGCACCCGGCCUGGCGGCCGCCGCUGACCCUCUCCGGAUUCCCGGGCUCUGGGGGCCGGGGGAGGAAGCGACCUUGCCGAGCUCCUGACCCGGCCGCCGCCUCCUCCUCCGGUUUGUCCACAAAGGCCGUCGCGCUCCCCUCAUUAAAGCCUCGUUACAGGAACCCCCGGCUGGCUCGCGACGGCUCCUCCGAGCCCCCCUGCCCACCGGCCUCUGAGCCCCUCCCCUGAUUUGAGAGGCCUGUGAUGGAGCGCCACCAGAAAAUUAGUGCCUGACAACGUCGUCUAUUGGCAAUAAAUUGAGAUUCCAAGUGACACGUCGCGGGAUCAAACACAGCCACAUUGUUGUGUACCCUGCUCCGCUCGCUCCUCGUUAAUCUUGGAGGGCGCCUUGGCAUCGCUUGGCCAGGGGAGGUUGUAGGCAGGCCUUUCGGCUGUCAGGACUCGGAUCCUGCCUCUGCCCUGGCUGAGCCCACUUCAGUCAUUCAGGAGGGACUGACUGCCCCUCCCUGAUAAGGUCCAAGGCGCUCAGGAGGCGUGACCCAGGAACGCCUUUCAAUAAGCUGAAGGUUUAUUAAAGUCAGGAGCUUCGAGGGGCAAACUCUGAGUUAAGCUUGUGGGGAAUCGACGUGAGCCUUGCUGGGAAUUCAGAACAUCAAGGUCUGGCCUUGUCUGGAAUUGUCUGGUGUCGAGUUUCCCAAACUUCAAGCUUCCCGCUACUACCUUUAUUAUUUACUUAACAUUUUUCCUUAAAUUGACUCAUUUUUAAAAUCAAAGUACAUAUUUUUGGAAAGAAAAUCUGAUACUACCACUGUAAAUUGAAAAGUAGCUGUUACUCACCAGAAAAGGAAGUGGUAAAAGAUAAACACAGCUAAAACCAAGCAAUGUUAAUACAUGUUAGCCGUUUUGCUGGCUUGGAAAGACUCCUAGAGGCUCAGCUGUGAUGCCACGAGAAUACUCAGAUAGCACACGGACAGGCCCACAUGGCAAUGAAUUGCAACUUGCCAGCAACCAUGUGGGUUAGCUUGAAGUGAAUUCUCUAGUCCUGUGUCUUCAGGUGACUGUAGCCCUGGCUGACCAUGUGACUGAACCUGAGGAGAAGCUGAGCCAAAGGCACACAGAUAAGCUGCACCUGGAUUCCUGACUACAGAAACUGUGAAGUAAUAAAUGUUUGCUGUUCAAAGCCAAGGGUUGGCAAAAUAUAUUCCACUUGUUUCUGUAAAUAAAGUUUUACUGGAACACGGUAAUGUUCACUAAUGUGCCUAUUGUUAUGGCUGCUUUCAUACUUCAACAGUAGUAGCUAUUGAGUAGUUGCAGCAAAAGACUAUAUGUCCACAGGACUAAAAUAUUUACUAUGUGGCCCUU
RNAcentral lists this long non-coding RNA (3951 nucleotides) under Homo sapiens (human). RNAcentral describes it as "HSALNT0231377". Lineage: Eukaryota; Metazoa; Chordata; Mammalia; Primates; Hominidae. The record is from RNAcentral.